UGGAUGAACGCUGGCGGCGUGCUUAACACAUGCAAGUCGAACGAAGAUAUUUAGAAUGAGAGCUUCGGCAGGAUUUUUAUCUAUCUUAGUGGCGGACGGGUGAGUAACGUGUGGGCAACCUGCCCUGUACUGGGGAAUAAUCAUUGGAAACGAUGACUAAUACCGCAUGUGGUCCUCGGAAGGCAUCUUCUGAGGAAGAAAGGAUUUAUUCGGUACAGGAUGGGCCCGCAUCUGAUUAGCUAGUUGGUGAGAUAACAGCCCACCAAGGCGACGAUCAGUAGCCGACCUGAGAGGGUGAUCGGCCACAUUGGGACUGAGACACGGCCCAAACUCCUACGGGAGGCAGCAGUGGGGAAUAUUGCACAAUGGGCGAAAGCCUGAUGCAGCAACGCCGCGUGAAGGAUGAAGGGUUUCGGCUCGUAAACUUCUAUCAAUAGGGAAGAAACAAAUGACGGUACCUAAAUAAGAAGCCCCGGCUAACUACGUGCCAGCAGCCGCGGUAAUACGUAGGGGGCAAGCGUUAUCCGGAAUUACUGGGUGUAAAGGGAGCGUAGGCGGCAUGGUAAGCCAGAUGUGAAAGCCUUGGGCUUAACCCGAGGAUUGCAUUUGGAACUAUCAAGCUAGAGUACAGGAGAGGAAAGCGGAAUUCCUAGUGUAGCGGUGAAAUGCGUAGAUAUUAGGAAGAACACCAGUGGCGAAGGCGGCUUUCUGGACUGAAACUGACGCUGAGGCUCGAAAGCGUGGGGGAGCAAACAGGAUUAGAUACCCUGGUAGUCCACGCCGUAAACGAUGAGUGCUAGGUGUCGGGGAGGAAUCCUCGGUGCCGCAGCUAACGCAAUAAGCACUCCACCUGGGGAGUACGACCGCAAGGUUGAAACUCAAAGGAAUUGACGGGGGCCCGCACAAGCGGUGGAGCAUGUGGUUUAAUUCGAAGCAACGCGAAGAACCUUACCAAGGCUUGACAUCCCGAUGACCGUCCUAGAGAUAGGACUUCUCUUCGGAGCAUCGGUGACAGGUGGUGCAUGGUUGUCGUCAGCUCGUGUCGUGAGAUGUUGGGUUAAGUCCCGCAACGAGCGCAACCCUUAUCUUCAGUAGCCAUCAUUCAGUUGGGCACUCUGGAGAGACUGCCGUGGAUAACACGGAGGAAGGUGGGGAUAACGUCAAAUCAUCAUGCCCCUUAUGUCUUGGGCUACACACGUGCUACAAUGGCUGGUAACAAAGUGAUGCGAGACGGCGACGUUAAGCAAAUCACAAAAACCCAGUCCCAGUUCGGAUUGUAGUCUGCAACUCGACUACAUGAAGCUGGAAUCGCUAGUAAUCGCGAAUCAGCAUGUCGCGGUGAAUACGUUCCCGGGCCUUGUACACACCGCCCGUCACACCAUGGGAGUUGGAAGCACCCGAAGUCGGUGACCUAACCGUAAGGAAGGAGCCGCCGAAGGUG
RNAcentral lists this ribosomal RNA (1441 nucleotides) under uncultured organism. Its description in RNAcentral is "SSU rRNA". It matches the Rfam family "Bacterial small subunit ribosomal RNA". The record is from RNAcentral.